RNAcentral lists this ribosomal RNA (253 nucleotides) under uncultured bacterium. RNAcentral's name for it is "partial 16S ribosomal RNA". It matches the Rfam family "Bacterial small subunit ribosomal RNA", at positions 524 to 776 of the family's 1533-position model. The record is from RNAcentral.
UACGGAGGGUGCAAACGUCGCUCGGAAUCAUUGGGCGUAAAGCGCACGUAGGCGGCCAACCAAGUUGGAUGUGAAAGCCCCAGGCUCAACCUGGGACGUGCAUUCAAAACUGGCUGGCUUGAGUUCCGGAGGGGCCCAGAGAAUUCCCGGUGUAGAGGUGAAAUUCGUAGAUAUCCCCAAGAACACCAGCUGCGAAGGCGGCCGACUGGACACAUAUUGACGCUGAGGCUCGAAAGCAUGGGGAGCAAACAGG